RNAcentral lists this ribosomal RNA (301 nucleotides) under uncultured bacterium. RNAcentral's name for it is "partial 16S ribosomal RNA". It matches the Rfam family "Bacterial small subunit ribosomal RNA", at positions 509 to 807 of the family's 1533-position model. The record is from RNAcentral.
CAGCAGCCGCGGUAACACAGAGGGUGCAAGCGUUAAUCGGAAUUACUGGGCGUAAAGCGCGCGUAGGUGGUUUGUUAAGUUGGAUGUGAAAGCCCCGGGCUCAACCUGGGAACUGCAUCCAAAACUGGCAAGCUAGAGUACGGUAGAGGUUGGUGGAAUUUCCUGUGUAGCGGUGAAAUGCGUAGAUAUAGGAAGGAACACCAGUGGCGAAGGCGACCACCUGGACUGAUACUGACACUGAGGUGCGAAAGCGUGGGGAGCAAACAGGAUUAGAUACCCCUGUAGUCCCUGUCUCUUAUAC